RNAcentral lists this long non-coding RNA (2862 nucleotides) under Coffea arabica (coffee). Its description in RNAcentral is "long non-coding RNA (CARA_LNC002952)". The record is from RNAcentral. Lineage: Eukaryota; Viridiplantae; Streptophyta; Magnoliopsida; Gentianales; Rubiaceae.
CUCCGAGUUCAAACCUGUUAAGGAAAACAAAUCCAUAGGGUGAGCAAAACGCUCGUGAGGCCAAGAACACACAUGCAAACACAUAGUUCAGAUAACAAGCACAAAUAACAAUUCAGGUAUUUGCUUGCAAGUAAUUAAUAACACCAAUAAACUGUAACCAGAAACAAUUCAAGGAUAUAGAAGCUCUCAGGAGCUAAGUUCCACAUUUGCCGAUACCAUUUAUAUAUCUUUCCGUGAUGACUCUCCGUCAACCGGAUUGAUAUUUUCAUAUCCGUAGUUCACCACUUACUUCCCAUCCGUCCACCAUACACCACUUCGGGCCCGCACUACAUUUAUAAGGCGAUACUAUACGAGUAUGCCAAGCGAGAUCUCUCAAUAGAUCAAGCUUAUCAUUUGAAUCUCAUGGCUCACCGAGGUUCCCGACCAAGCCCAUGCCGGCUCGAGUUCCAAGGUCGGCCUAUGAGUUUGGGCGUCCCCCAUUUGUCAUGUAAAUGUCGAGGAGAUUCACUCCAUCGACGUAUGCAAUCAUAGCAUACCAUUUCAUGUAUUCAAUCAUUUGAUAGGUUUAAGCAGACAUUUCAAGUCAUGUAAAUCAAGCAAAUUAUGUUACGCAUGAGUCAUUCGUUUCAAAUGAGAACGAGUGCGAUCAAGUACACACUCGACUCCAUUUUGUCAAAAUCAGUUAAGCUAAGCAUGAAAUCAGGUGAAUUAAGCAUGAAUCAAGUCUUUAGAGUUCAAGUAGGCAUACACUUGACACUCACCAAGUUAUGCAAGCUAGUAGGUUGGAGGGAGAGUUCAAACUUCCACAGUAGGGUCCUCUUGGAGGUCCUCGUGCGUGCCUGAACAUCGUAUUUUAGAUAAUUACUGUAGGUCCCCAAGUGGUGAGAAAGAUUGAACACGAGUAAGGUUCGAAAAUAAUUGAAACUUCGUUUGACUUGCCUUUGAAGUUGAAUUCUCAAAAGGGUGUAAAACUUAAGUACAAAAAUUGGAUUAUUAUCCUUAAAAUCAUUGGUUGGAAACAAGUACAAGCGAAAAGAUUGCAAAACGAACGAUCGAAAUCGAAGGAAGGUUGGCCACGUCACAAUCCGGCCGGAACCUGGCCGGAUAUCCGGCCGGAUUUCUGGCCGGAUUGGAGGCAGUGGCUAACCUCCUUUUUUUUCAAUUUUGGCCACCAAUCCGGCCGACAAUCCGGCCAGUUUCUGGCCGGAUUCAAGGCCGGAUUCUGGAAAAUUGUUCCUUCGCGGAUUUCCUUUGAAAUUUCAGAAUUUUCGAUUUUUGGUCAAAUCUUUGAAAAAUCAUAACUUCUUUUCUACUAAUCGAAACUUGAUGAAUUUGAUACCGUUGGAAUCAUCUUUGAAAGUACUAAAAGUUCUUAGAAGACACCGUUCCAUGAAUCUAAGUGGAAGGCAUUCAAAAAUGAGCCUAAAGUUGCUGUUCUAGAUUGCUAGGAUUGAGCCGGGUUGGUUUUUCGCUAACUUUGGAAAUUCGGCAAAAAUCACUCGUUGGAAACCGGCCCUUGAAACUUAUAACUCAAUUAGAUCUGCAAGCAAAGUUUUGGAUGGAACAAGCGGCUCAAGAAUCGGAGUUUCGAGUACCGAGAUACGGCAGCUCGAAGUUGGGGAAAAUUCAGGAUUGUUACAAAAUUUCCAGAUUUGGUUCCAACUUUGGACCUUUAGUUAAGUGCCGAAACGGACUUGGAUUGACACCAAAUUUUGCAGUAUAAUACUUCCAUAUGAAGGUUAUUUUUCUAUCAAAUUUCAUGGAAAAAUACCCUCGGAAGGGUAAUCAUUCAAUCAACCAAAAUUUGGAAAAAUCCUUAAAGCAAUCUGUCCAAAGCUAAGGUUUUCAAAAACGAGGCAGUUGCCGUGUAUUGAUCAUAACUCCCUCAAUUUAACUCGAAAUUGGAAAUGGUUGAUAGUGUUAGAAAAUACAUUCACAGGGCUACAACUUCACAGAAGAAAUCGUUACAAGUUUCAGCAUGCAACUGGUUCAAAAUCAAGCCUCAAUUUGCAGCAUCAUCAAAUCAUUUCGGCAGAACGGAGAAACAGGACAGCCAACUUCAGAUGAAUGGUGUGGCUCACACACAUAGAACCAGAAUGUUCAUUAUACACCGUUGGAAACAUAGGAAUGUCUAGUUUCAAAUGCCGCUGACGGAACUUGAUUUUGACGUCGGAGCACGGAGUUAUGGACAAAAUACAACCACUGGUCUGGAUUACGGCGAAACCGUUUUCCAGAUUACCAGUUUUCGAAAUAAUUUCGUUUGAGCAACCAAAACUCAAUAUUUUUCAACGAAAUUUUGUACACAACUUCUACAACAUGUAAACAACAUAAUCAAGCCUUUAAAUCCUCAAUUAUCUGCAGUAAAGUGACCGAACAGAGCAGGGGUAAAAUCGGAACUUUUUGCUUCAAGAACUCAAUAACGUUUCUGGAAAUAAUGCACCUUUAAUCUACUUCCUUAAGCAGUAUUUCAGCAAUAAAAUCAUCAUCAAAUAUCAUCACAGCCAUCAACCCAAAGUGGGAGUUCAUAGAGCCCACAUUUAACAAUUUCCAACGAUAAUAAGUUACCCAUAAGCAUAAUCAAGCUCUUAAGUGUAAGUUAGCCUUUAUUGAACAAGAUCUGAAGAGUGGAUCAUGGUUACCUUACUUGUGUGCUACAAAGUCAGAUUUUGGUGCCCCUAAAACUCCAAGAAGAUCCGUGAAUGUGCAGCUCUUUCUUUGUCCAAGUGAUUGUCCAAGUUGUCUUGAGCUUGUGUGGUGAAUCUAUGAAGGUUUGGCAAGAUUUUUGAGGUGAAGUUUGUAGAGGAAAUGUUUGAGAAGUUUUCGGUUGUUUCCUCUGCAGCAGCUGGCCGACCAUGAAGCUAG